UACGUAGGGUGCGAGCGUUGUCCGGAAUUAUUGGGCGUAAAGAGUGUGUAGGCGGUGUUCCAAGUCUGUUGUGAAAUCUCCCGGCUUAACUGGGAGGGUGCGGCGGAAACUGGAAUGCUAGAGGGUGGGAGAGGUAAGCGGAAUUCCUGGUGUAGCGGUGAAAUGCGUAGAUAUCAGGAGGAACACCUGUGGUGUAGACAGCUUACUGGACCACUUCUGACGCUGAGACACGAAAGCGUGGGUAGCAAACAGG
RNAcentral lists this ribosomal RNA (253 nucleotides) under uncultured bacterium. Its description in RNAcentral is "partial 16S ribosomal RNA". It matches the Rfam family "Bacterial small subunit ribosomal RNA", at positions 524 to 776 of the family's 1533-position model. The record is from RNAcentral.